AGUCAUAGAUCUGAGCAUGAGAACAUCAACCAUGGAGAGUCCUUCUUCAAACUCAGUCCAAAGACUCCUCAUCUUCCUUCUGUGUCUCCUGCUUCUUCAUCACCCUUCACUGGCUUACUCCCUGAAAAACUGCACCUUUGAUUUUACUGAGGGUGCCUUGGAAGUUUGUCUUGAUUGCUCUCUCCGUCAUCUUGUCUCUGUCCCUGAUGACAUCCCCAGAGAUGCAUACUCACUACAACUCUCAAAAAAUCGGAUCAAGCAGAUCAGAAAGAAUGAUUUCAGGAACAUGUCAAAACUAGGUUUUCUGAGCCUGGACGGUAAUUCAAUUGCUCACAUAGAUGAAGGAUCUUUCGUCGACUUGGUGUCACUGAAAAAACUCCAGAUAGCUGAAAAUCAUCUCACACAUCUGGCAAGAAACGUCUUCCAGGGACUGUCAAACCUUGUUUUGCUGAACCUCUAUGGAAACGAAAUUGCUUUUAUUCAUAACUCAGCCUUUGACUUCCUGACCAGAUUACAAACUGUCAUCCUAGACUUCAACAAGUUAAAAAAGGUCACUGACAUACAGCCGAUUCUGAAUCUACCCAACAUAGAGAAACUGAGCAUUAAUUAUAACCUGUUCUCCACCUUUGAGUCCAAAGAUCUGAAUCUGAACGUGUCCUCAAGCCUGAGAGAGUUAGAUGUUGAAGGUAAUGACCUCAGCAGAUUCAGCAUCACAACACCUAUCUUCCCUCAUCUUCAGGAAAUCAACCUUUGCCCAUGUGGUCAGUUAUCUCCAUUUCAAUGGGACAUCCCUGAUAAGUCUUUACUGAGGAACAUAACUCAACUAGGUUUCAGUGACUCGAAUGCUUUUGAAGAAAUCCGAAAAGUCUUGCAGAGUCUCGACUCACUACAACGAUUAAAACUUAAUUCUAUGAGGGGACUGAUGAGCAAAGAACUAUUGGCCUCUAUCUGCAGAAUACCAACACUUGAGAGCCUGGAUCUGUCUUUCAACAGAGAUGCAAACUUGAGUGCCAAACUUGGAGUUUGCUCUCAGCUCGAGGAGCUUGACUUGAGUGACACUUGGACGUCUUACAUAUCAAAAGGCUCAGUGGCAAUGAUGAAGCAGCUAAGGUCCUUAGAUCUCGAGAACAAUUUUCUUACCAAAGUGCCAGAGGACAUCAGAAGCCUCUCCUCCCUCAGGGUCCUAAAUCUUCAAUUAAACCAAAUCUCUGAGUUGAGCUGUGAGGAUUUUAAAAACACAUCCCGUCUCACUGAGCUCUCUCUAAACAACAACCGUAUUGUCAAACUGGACUGGUGCACCUUCAAAAAUCUUAACAGCCUUGAGGUUUUAGAUUUGAGUAAUAAUCUGCUGCCGACGUUCGGAGGGGCUUUCAAGUUAAACCUGGACAACCUUAAUAUCCUGAUUUUGAAAAAUCAUGUUGUACAUCGUCUUGAAACAGGUGAGUUUGAGGGUUUAGUGUCCCUUAAACAAAUGGAUUUAAAAUCUAAUGCAUUUUCAAAGCCAGACGUUGGCGCAUUUGAUGGUUUGCACAACCUGACUAGACUAACUGUAUCUCUUCCGUGUGAUUUCUAUUGCAACUUUCGGGAUUUAGACCAAAUAGAAAACCUGACAAUAAUCAUUCCUUUUAAACCGUUUUGCCAAAGUCAUCAUGAAAGCCUCAAGAAAACUGUCUUUGAUUUAAAAUCACUGAAAAGGCUCCACUUGUUUUCUUAUGGUGAUCACGAUGAAUUUACCAAUCCAGCUAAUGUAGGGAUGAUUCAGUCUGCAAAACUUUUAGAGGAAUUCACAGCUGAGAACAUUUUCUUUUCAUUACCAACUCCAGAGACUUUUCAAUCCAAUUCCCAGCUAAGAAGUUUGGCAAUCACACAGAGUGAUCUUUCUGAUUUGGGUUCUGAACUGUUCUGGCCAAUCCCACACCUGCAAGCACUGGAUCUUUCUAAGAGUAGCCUGAAGUCUUUGGAUUUUUUGGCCCAGGCCAACCUGUCUGCACUCAAAUAUUUGCAUCUCGGUGACAAUGGUAUAACAGUCAUCGAUGAGACCAUCUUCCAGUCUCUCCCUGCUCUUGUUUACCUCGACCUGACUAACAACCCUUUGGCUUGUGACUGCUCUAAUGCUGGCUUCAUCCAAUGGGUGAAGAGCAACAACCAAACUCUGGUGAAUGGCGCCCAUGAUUACAUCUGUUCCUUUCCUCUGAUCAAACAGGGAACCAAGGUGUUGGACUUUGAUGUCCAGUCCUGUUGGAUGGACGUUGGCUUCCUCUGCUAUAUCUCCAGCUCUUGUCUGGUUGUGUUAACUCUCCUCACCUCUUUCAUCUACCACUUCCUGAGGUGGCAGAUGGUCUAUGCCUUCAACCUCUUCCAGGCCUUCCUUUAUGACAGCAGGAAGAGGAGGAGAGGAGCUCCUCACCUCUACGAUGCCUUCAUCUCCUACAAUGUUGAGGAUGAGGCCUGGGUCUACAGAGAGAUGCUUCCAGUGCUGGAGGGAGAGCAGGGCUGGAGACUGUGUCUGCACCACAGAGACUUCCAACCAGGUAAACCUAUCAUAGAGAACAUCACAGACGCCAUCUACAGCUGCAGGAAGACCAUCUGUGUGAUCAGCCAGAGCUACCUGCAGAGCGAGUGGUGCUCCAGAGAGAUCCAGAUGGCCAGUUUCCGUCUGUUUGAUGAGAAGAAGGACGUGUUGAUCCUGCUGUUACUGGAGGAGAUCCCCUCUCAUCAGCUGUCUCCGUACCACCGCAUGAGGAAGCUGGUGAAGAAACGCACCUACCUGAGCUGGCUGCAGGCCGGACGACACAAGGGAGUCUUCUGGCAGAACGUCCAGAGGGCUCUGGAGACGGGAGAGUCCGCCAGAGAUAUGAAUCUUCUGACUGGACUAGAGGGAUGCUGAGAACAUACCUGAACCUGUGAGCUGAAAAACAGGAGAAUUUAAAAGUUGCAUAUUAUACAAAGAUGUUAAGGCACAAUGGAAAACAGAAUACAUGGAAGUUUGAGUUAACUUUUAAAACUUUUUCAUUACACAAGAACUUGCUGAAUCACAUAAUCAAUUACAACUUGCAGAAUAAUCAAAAAUCAGGUCUGCCUUAUGCCAGACUUGUUUAAAAUCUUUAUUAAUCAUACACAGAAUCUCAUUGCUCCUAAUAUCCAUAGAAAGGCACAUCAUAACAGCAUUUUCAUGUUGUUUAUGUGCGUCACCCUUAAUGUGUGAAGGCGUCUACAAGACCUCUGCUCGUCAGAUUUUCAGCAUUUUGUUUUGGAUGUGAAUGAUUCCGGUUAACCAGGCUGUUCACACUGAGAGUGGAUAGCUGUAGAUUAUUGAAAUCAAAAUCACUGACUCUGUUAAAAGCAUGAAUUUGGUUUUGUUGACAUCAGGGAUAAAUGUAUUCUGUCUUACAAUGCAAGCUGCAGUUUCUUUAUCUGUUGAUGUAGAUUUUUGAGAUGGGAUCCAGAGAUCUUUGUGGUCCACCUUCUGUGGAAAGGGUCAAAAAAGGAAGUGAAAUCACUGCACUUCCUCUGCUGCCAACGUGGGCGUACAGAGUGAAAACCAUCUGAAGGGUCAGUGCUGAUCCGACUGCUGAGACAUGAGGAACAAACUCAGAACUCUGACUCAGGACUCCUCACCAUCCUCAUCCUCCUUGAUCUGAGUCUGGCCUUUGACACCAUUUCUCAUCACAUCCUCCUGGACAACCUGGCUUCAAUCAGGAUUACAAACACACCUCUGCACUGGUUUAAAUCAUAUCUCUCUGGCUGCACUCAGUUCAUAAAACUCAAAUCAUUCAAACCCCACUCCUUUCCUGUCUCUUCCGGUGUUCCCCAGGGUUCUGUUCUUGGCCGCCUUCUCUUCAUUAUCUACAUACUUCCUCCAGGCCAUAUUUUCCGUAAAAACAGCAGUAAUUUCCACUGCUACGCGGAUGACACCCAGCACUGCCUUUCCACCAAACCCAACUCCACCCUCCCUUCCUCCUCCAUCUGUGAAUGCCUACAGGAAAUCAAAUCCUGGUUCUCUCACAACUUUCUAAAACUCAACAGUGAUACAACUGAAGUUCUUCUUAUUGGUACUAAAGCCACUUUAACCAAAUCUGACAGUUUUUCCCUCACAAUUGAUCAUUUCAUAGUUUGUCCCUCCCCUCAGGUUAAGAGUCUGGGUGUCAUCCUCGAAAGCACACUAUCUUUCCAACCUCACAUCAAUAACCUUACUAGGUCUGCUUAAUUCCAUCUAUGCAAUAUUAAUCUCCUUCAUCCAUCCCUCACUCUAACCUCUGCUCACUUCCCAGAUCGACUAUUGCAACUCCCUCCUCUUUGGUCUCCCCCAGAAAUCCCUCCACAAACUUCAGUUAGGCCAAAAUUCUGCUGCCCACAUCAUUUCCAGAACCCCAUCCAGGAAUCACAUCACUCCAGUUCUUCAGCAGCUACACUGGCUCCUGGUCAGCUACCGCUUUAACUUUAAGAUUCUGCUCCUGACCUUCAAAGCAUCCAUAACCUCAUCUCUCCAUACUUUUCUGACCUCCUUCACAUCAGCACCCCCUCUCACAUUCUCAGGCCUUCUUCCUCUUUCCACCUUACAGUCCCACCCGCCCGCUUGACCACCAUGGGCUCCAGAGUCUUCAGUUGCUCUGCUCCCAGACUUUGGAACUCCCUCCUUCCAGACAUCCUUAAUAUUAACUCACUCUCCAUUUUCAAAUCCAGUCUUAAAACUCAUCUUUUCAGACUGUCAUGUUCUGUCUGACUGAUGUCUUUCAGUCAACCUUCACUGUUUCAUUAAUUGUUUUCACUUAUUGCUAACUUGUGUGUAUUUAGUGGACUUAUUUAUUUAUUUUGUUUUAAACUUUUCUUGUUAGGUGACCUUGAGUGCUUUGAAAGGCGCCUAUAAAUAAAAAGUAUUAUUAUUAUUAUUAUUAUUAUUAUUAUUAUUAUAAGAGACUCC
This is an RNA transcript of Cheilinus undulatus (humphead wrasse), 4921 nucleotides long. It is a transcript of the gene named toll-like receptor 13, with no coding region annotated. NCBI's taxonomy places the organism in Eukaryota, Metazoa, Chordata, Actinopteri, Labriformes, Labridae. The record is from RefSeq and is a predicted model, not a curated record. The transcript has 4 exons.